Molecule: ribosomal RNA, 404 nt
Filed under: bacterium
Lineage: Bacteria
Description: partial 16S ribosomal RNA
Rfam family: Bacterial small subunit ribosomal RNA
Source: RNAcentral
UGGGGAAUCUUAGACAAUGGGGGAAACCCUGAUCUAGCCAUGCCGCGUGAGCGAUGAAGGCCUUAGGGUUGUAAAGCUCUUUCACCGGGGAAGAUAAUGACGGUACCCGGAGAAGAAGCCCCGGCUAACUCCGUGCCAGCAGCCGCGGUAAUACGGAGGGGGCUAGCGUUGUUCGGAAUUACUGGGCGUAAAGCGCACGUAGGCGGAUUGGAAAGUCAGAGGUGAAAUCCCAGGGCUCAACCCUGGAACUGCCUUUGAAACUCCCAGUCUUGAGGUCGAGAAAGGUGAGUGGAAUUCCGAGUGUAGAGGUGAAAUUCGUAGAUAUUCGGAGGAACACCAGUGGCGAAGGCGGCUCACUGGCUCGAUACUGACGCUGAGGUGCGAAAGCGUGGGGAGCAAACAGG